UACGUAGGGUGCAAGCGUUGUCCGGAAUUAUUGGGCGUAAAGAGCUUGUAGGCGGUUUGUCGCGUCUGCUGUGAAAUUUCGGGGCUCAACCCCGAACUUGCAGUGGGUACGGGCAGACUAGAGUGUGGUAGGGGAGACUGGAAUUCCUGGUGUAGCGGUGAAAUGCGCAGAUAUCAGGAGGAACACCGGUGGCGAAGGCGGAUCUCUGGGCCUUACCUGACGCUCAGGUGCGAAAGCUAGGGGAGCGAACAGG
This 253-nucleotide ribosomal RNA is filed under the name uncultured bacterium. RNAcentral describes it as "partial 16S ribosomal RNA". It matches the Rfam family "Bacterial small subunit ribosomal RNA", at positions 524 to 776 of the family's 1533-position model. The record is from RNAcentral.